CCUACGGGGUGCUGCAGUGAGGAAUAUUGGUCAAUGGGCGGAAGCCUGAACCAGCCAAGUCGCGUGAGGGAAUAAGGCCCUACGGGUCGUAAACCUCUUUUGCCGGGGAGCAAGGGCCGGGACGAGUCCCGGUCCGGAGAGUACCCGGAGAAAAAGCAUCGGCUAACUCCGUGCCAGCAGCCGCGGUAAUACGGAGGAUGCGAGCGUUAUCCGGAUUUAUUGGGUUUAAAGGGUGCGUAGGCGGGCUUUUAAGUCAGCGGUAAAAAUUCGGGGCUCAACCCCGUCCGGCCGUUGAAACUGGGGGCCUUGAGUGGGCGAGAAGAAGGCGGAAUGCGUGGGGUAGCGGUGAAAUGCAUAGAUAUCACGCAGAACCCCGAGUGCGAAGGCAGCCUGCCGCAGCGUUACUGACGCUGAAGCUCGAAAGCGCGGGUAUCGAACAGGAUUAGAUACCCUGGUAGUC
Molecule: ribosomal RNA, 460 nt
Filed under: uncultured bacterium
Lineage: Bacteria
Description: partial 16S ribosomal RNA
Rfam family: Bacterial small subunit ribosomal RNA
Source: RNAcentral